CAGGGAGACAACAAAAUGUUAAAUAUUAAUUUUGUCACCUUAGGUCGAUCGGUAUCUCACAUUCUUAAUUUAUUAAGGAUUUUAUUUCCUAAGUUUUUUCUAGGUCACACCCAUUAUUUUUCCUGGGCCAUUAGCUCAGGUGGUUAGAGCGCACCCCUGAUAAGGGUGAGGUCCCUGGUUCAAGUCCAGGAUGGCCCAUAUCUCUAUGUUGGGGGUAUAGCUCAGUUGGUAGAGCGCCUGCUUUGCAAGCAGGAUGUCAGCGGUUCGAGUCCGCUUACCUCCACUGAUUACCACCUCUUCCAUAAUUUACUGAAGGGAAACUUUUUUAGGUGUGAUCAAAAUCUGAACGAAUCUAGCUUCCUAAUCAAACUUAUUAAGAUGCUGGACUCAUUGAAUUAUUUUCAUUGUUUUCAGAGAACCUUGACAACUGCAUAGAUUAUUUUUAAAGACAAUAAGCAUCUUUAAUGAUGCAGAUUUAUUAUUUAUGCGAAUGCAUUAAUAACAAUUCUAUUAAGCUGAUGCUUCAAUUUUUGAAGUUAUU
RNAcentral lists this transfer RNA (541 nucleotides) under uncultured cyanobacterium. Its description in RNAcentral is "partial contains 16S ribosomal RNA, 16S-23S ribosomal RNA intergenic spacer, and 23S ribosomal RNA". The stretch from base 211 to 283 matches the Rfam family "tRNA". The record is from RNAcentral. Lineage: Bacteria; Bacillati; Cyanobacteriota.